UCGAGAAUCUUCGGCAAUGGGCGAAAGCCUGACCGAGCGACGCCGCGUGCGGGAUGAAGGCCUUCGGGUUGUAAACCGCUGUCAGUGGGGAACAAAUCUCUAGAGGUUAUCCUCUAGAGUUGAGUGAACCGCAGAGGAAGUACGGGCUAAGUUCGUGCCAGCAGCCGCGGUAAGACGAACCGUACGAACGUUAUUCGGAAUCACUGGGCUUAAAGAGUUCGUAGGCGGCCGUGUAGGUGAGAUGUGAAAUCCCUCGUCUCAACCGAGGAAUUGCGUUUCAAACCACAUGGCUUGAGGAAGAUAGGGGUGAGCGGAACUGAUGGUGGAGCGGUGAAAUGCGUUGAUAUCAUCAGGAACACCAGAGGCGAAGGCGGCUCACUGGGUCUUUUCUGACGCUGAG
RNAcentral lists this ribosomal RNA (400 nucleotides) under uncultured bacterium. RNAcentral's name for it is "bacterial SSU rRNA". It matches the Rfam family "Bacterial small subunit ribosomal RNA", at positions 355 to 750 of the family's 1533-position model. The record is from RNAcentral.